This 297-nucleotide ribosomal RNA is filed under the name Hirschia sp. RNAcentral describes it as "partial 23S ribosomal RNA". It matches the Rfam family "Bacterial large subunit ribosomal RNA", at positions 2617 to 2925 of the family's 2925-position model. Lineage: Bacteria; Pseudomonadati; Pseudomonadota; Alphaproteobacteria; Hyphomonadales; Hyphomonadaceae. The record is from RNAcentral.
CGUCGUGAGACAGUUCGGUCCCUAUCUGCCAUGGGUGUAGAAGAAUUGAGAGGAGCUGUCCCUAGUACGAGAGGACCGGGAUGGACAUACCUCUGGUGGACCUGUUGUGGCGCCAGCCGCAGUGCAGGGUAGCUAUGUAUGGAACGGAUAACCGCUGAAAGCAUCUAAGCGGGAAACCAGCCUCAAAACGAGACUUCCCUGAGAGCCGUCGUAGACUACGACGUCGAUAGGCCAGGUGUGGAAGCGCAGCGAUGCGUGAAGCUAACUGGUACUAAUUGCUCGAUCGGCUUGAUCCGA